This 519-nucleotide ribosomal RNA is filed under the name uncultured eukaryote. Its description in RNAcentral is "bacterial SSU rRNA". It matches the Rfam family "Eukaryotic small subunit ribosomal RNA", at positions 25 to 549 of the family's 1831-position model. The record is from RNAcentral.
UUACAUAUGCUUGUCUUAAAAAUUACCCCAUGCAUGUGCCAGUUCAGUAUUGAACAGCGAAACUGCAAAGGGCUCAUUAAAACAGUUAUAGUUUAUUUGAUAAUUGAAAAUUACAUGGAUAACCAAGCUAAUUGUUGGGCUAAUACAUGCAUAAAAGUCCGUGUCCCGCGACCGGACUGUAUUUAUUAAAUAUUAAACCUUUCUCCCUCGGGUGAAUGUGGUGAUUCAAAGUAACUGAUCAAAUCGGGGCUUGCUGCAAUAAAUCAUCUAAUUUUCUGCCCUAUCACCUCUCGAUGGUAGUGUAUUGAACUACCAUGGCGCUCACGGGUAACGGAAAAUUAGGGUUCGAUUCCGGAAAAGGAGCCUGAAAAACGGCUACUACACCUACGGGUUGGCAGCAGGGACGUAAAUUACCCAAUCCUAAUUCAGGGAGGUAGUGACAAGAAAUAGCAAGUCAAGGGACAUCGUCCUUACAACAUUGAAAUGAGAACAGUGUAAAUCUCUUAGCGAGGAACAAUU